UUUAGCAGCCGUAUCACCCUGUAGCCCAAGACUGGUUGCCCACUGAAGCUAAGCAGGGCUGAGCCUGGUCAGUACCUGGAUGGGAGACCUUCUGAGAAAACUAGGUUGCUGCAGUUG
RNAcentral lists this ribosomal RNA (117 nucleotides) under Sinocyclocheilus rhinocerous. Lineage: Eukaryota; Metazoa; Chordata; Actinopteri; Cypriniformes; Cyprinidae. The record is from RNAcentral.